UACAAGUCGAGCAGGGUCGAAAGACGGACUUAGUGAUCCGGUGGUUCCGCAUGGAAGGGCCAUCGCUCAACGGAUAAAAGCUACCCCGGGGAUAACAGGCUUAUCUCCCCCAAGAGUUCACAUCGACGGGGAGGUUUGGCACCUCGAUGUCGGCUCAUCGCAUCCUGGGGCUGUAGUCGGUCCCAAGGGUUGGGCUGUUCGCCCAUUAAAGCGGUACGCGAGCUGGGUUCAGAACGUCGUGAGACAGUUCGGUCCCUAUCCGUCGUGGGCGCAGGAAAUUUGAGAGGAGCUGUCCUUAGUACGAGAGGACCGGGAUGGACAUACCUCUGGUGUACCAGUUGUCGUGCCAACGGCAUCGCUGGGUAGCUAUGUAUGGACGGGAUAAGUGCUGAAAGCAUCUAAGCAUGAAGCCCCCCUCAAGAUGAGAUUUCCCAACUUCGGUUAUAAGAUCCCUCAAAGAUGAUGAGGUUAAUAGGUUCGAGGUGGAAGCAUAGCGAUAUGUGGAGCUGACGAAUACUAAUCGAUCGAAGACUUAAUCAAAUU
This 543-nucleotide ribosomal RNA is filed under the name Staphylococcus equorum. Its description in RNAcentral is "bacterial LSU rRNA". It matches the Rfam family "Bacterial large subunit ribosomal RNA", at positions 2383 to 2925 of the family's 2925-position model. The record is from RNAcentral. Lineage: Bacteria; Bacillati; Bacillota; Bacilli; Caryophanales; Staphylococcaceae.